UAUCGAUCAACUAGUGACUGCGCACACC
This 28-nucleotide non-coding RNA is filed under the name Bombyx mori (domestic silkworm). The record is from RNAcentral. Lineage: Eukaryota; Metazoa; Arthropoda; Insecta; Lepidoptera; Bombycidae.